RNAcentral lists this ribosomal RNA (169 nucleotides) under Listeria monocytogenes. Its description in RNAcentral is "partial 23S ribosomal RNA". It matches the Rfam family "Bacterial large subunit ribosomal RNA", at positions 2759 to 2925 of the family's 2925-position model. Lineage: Bacteria; Bacillati; Bacillota; Bacilli; Caryophanales; Listeriaceae. The record is from RNAcentral.
AGGGAUAAACGCUGAAAGCAUCUAAGCGUGAAGCCCCCCUCAAGAUGAGAUUUCCCAUUUCUUCGGAAAGUAAGAUCCCUGAAAGAUGAUCAGGUAGAUAGGUUUGGAGUGGAAGUGUAGCGAUGCAUGGAGCGGACAAAUACUAAUCGAUCGAGGACUUAACCAAAAA